Molecule: unclassified non-coding RNA, 303 nt
Filed under: plant metagenome
Description: partial contains 5.8S ribosomal RNA, internal transcribed spacer 2, and large subunit ribosomal RNA
Rfam family: 5.8S ribosomal RNA (bases 1-105)
Source: RNAcentral
GAAAUGCGAUAAGUAAUGUGAAUUGCAGAAUUCAGUGAAUCAUCGAAUCUUUGAACGCACAUUGCGCCCCUUGGUAUUCCGGGGGGCAUGCCUGUUCGAGCGUCAUUACACCACUCAAGCCUGGCUUGGUAUUGGAUGUCGCGCCCGCCUCGGGUGCGCGCCCUAAUGUCUCCGGCUGGGCCGUCUGUCUCCCAAGCGUUGUGGACUAUCAGUUCGCUUGCGGGUCCGGGCGUGUCCGUCGCCGUUAAACACCCCAUCACAGGUUGACCUCGGAUCAGGUAGGGAUACCCGCUGAACUUAAGC